UCUGGGAAAAGCCCUGGAAACGGGGUCUAAUACCGGAUAAUACUUUUCCUCUCAUGGGGGAAGGUUGAAAGCUCCGGCGGUGAAGGAUGAGCCCGCGGCCUAUCAGCUAGUUGGUGGGGUAAUGGCCUACCAAGGCGACGACGGGUAGCCGGCCUGAGAGGGCGACCGGCCACACUGGGACUGAGACACGGCCCAGACUCCUACGGGAGGCAGCAGUGGGGAAUAUUGCACAAUGGGCGAAAGCCUGAUGCAGCGACGCCGCGUGAGGGAUGACGGCCUUCGGGUUGUAAACCUCUUUCAGCAGGGAAGAAGCGAAAGUGACGGUACCUGCAGAAGAAGCGCCGGCUAACUACGUGCCAGCAGCCGCGGUAAUACGUAGGGCGCAAGCGUUGUCCGGAAUUAUUGGGCGUAAAGAGCUCGUAGGCGGCUUGUUGCGUCGGUUGUGAAAGCCCGGGGCUUAACCCCGGGUCUGCAGUCGAUACGGGCAGGCUAGAGUGUGGUAGGGGAGAUCGGAAUUCCUGGUGUAGCGGUGAAAUGCGCAGAUAUCAGGAGGAACACCGGUGGCGAAGGCGGAUCUCUGGGCCAUUACUGACGCUGAGGAGCGAAAGCGUGGGGAGCGAACAGGAUUAGAUACCCUGGUAGUCCACGCCGUAAACGUUGGGAACUAGGUGUUGGCGACAUUCCACGUCGUCGGUGCCGCAGCUAACGCAUUAAGUUCCCCGCCUGG
RNAcentral lists this ribosomal RNA (727 nucleotides) under Streptomyces sp. Its description in RNAcentral is "bacterial SSU rRNA". It matches the Rfam family "Bacterial small subunit ribosomal RNA", at positions 137 to 876 of the family's 1533-position model. The record is from RNAcentral. Lineage: Bacteria; Bacillati; Actinomycetota; Actinomycetes; Kitasatosporales; Streptomycetaceae.